CAUGGAAGGUUGACGUAACUCUGAAUCAUAUGAGAUUACAUUGAUGUCCCUAUUAGAAGAGAUCAUGACAAGAAUGUAACUAACCGAGAGAACAUACAAGAAUGAAAAAGAGGACAUUUGCUAUGGAGGACGACGACUGGUGUUUCAGUGAGGAGAUGUGCCUGCUAGAGAAGCAGGAGAGAAACUUGAAAAGUUGAAAAGAGGAAGGAAGACAUGUACCUCGAGAGGAUAAUGGUACAAAGAACUGGGAAGCGGCCGAAAAGAGAGCAAGAAGAGACACAGAAAACAACAAUAAGACUGGUUCAUCAGGAGAGAAAGGGAAUGGAUGAAAAGAGAAAGAGAGCAGAG
Salmo salar (Atlantic salmon) is the source of this 348-nucleotide non-coding RNA. NCBI's taxonomy places the organism in Eukaryota, Metazoa, Chordata, Actinopteri, Salmoniformes, Salmonidae. The record is from RefSeq and is a predicted model, not a curated record.